AAAUAGCGUUAAGGAUAGCAGCGACAUCCUUUUUACAACAGUUAGAGUUAUCAAACUCUAACACGUAAAAAGAUAUAGCGAAUAGCCUGUAAAAAC
Molecule: small RNA, 96 nt
Filed under: Formosa sp. Hel1_31_208
Lineage: Bacteria; Pseudomonadati; Bacteroidota; Flavobacteriia; Flavobacteriales; Flavobacteriaceae
Description: Flavo-1 RNA
Rfam family: Flavo-1 RNA
Source: Rfam by way of RNAcentral